Spea bombifrons (plains spadefoot toad) is the source of this 218-nucleotide long non-coding RNA. RefSeq lists it as uncharacterized. The record is from RefSeq and is a predicted model, not a curated record. NCBI's taxonomy places the organism in Eukaryota, Metazoa, Chordata, Amphibia, Anura, Pelobatidae. The transcript has 2 exons.
UAGGAAGAUUGGCCCCAAAUGAUGGUGCAAAUUGUUUGCUGUUGCUUUUGGCACGCAGGAUCCAGUUGGGUAUGACUGAAAAAAACGCCGAACAGAAAAACGCCAAGUGGAUAUGGCAUUGUGCGAUUUCCUAUUGAAGAACAGCUAACAUCUGGCCGCAGCGUUUUUUUUAACUAAAAAAACGCCGUGUGGCUGAAUUGGCGUUUUUAUGGGCGUUU